RNAcentral lists this ribosomal RNA (788 nucleotides) under uncultured Lactobacillus sp. Its description in RNAcentral is "bacterial SSU rRNA". It matches the Rfam family "Bacterial small subunit ribosomal RNA", at positions 28 to 776 of the family's 1533-position model. Lineage: Bacteria; Bacillati; Bacillota; Bacilli; Lactobacillales; Lactobacillaceae. The record is from RNAcentral.
GACGAACGCUGGCGGCGUGCCUAAUACAUGCAAGUCGAGCGAGCUUGCCUAGAUGAAUUUGGUGCUUGCACCAAAUGAAACUAGAUACAAGCGAGCGGCGGACGGGUGAGUAACACGUGGGUAACCUGCCCAAGAGACUGGGAUAACACCUGGAAACAGAUGCUAAUACCGGAUAACAACACCAGACGCAUGUCUAGAGUUUAAAAGAUGGUUCUGCUAUCACUCUUGGAUGGACCUGCGGUGCAUUAGCUAGUUGGUAAGGUGACGGCUUACCAAGGCAAUGAUGCAUAGCCGAGUUGAGAGACUGAUCGGCCACAUUGGGACUGAGACACGGCCCAAACUCCUACGGGAGGCAGCAGUAGGGAAUCUUCCACAAUGGACGCAAGUCUGAUGGAGCAACGCCGCGUGAGUGAAGAAGGGUUUCGGCUCGUAAAGCUCUGUUGGUAGUGAAGAAAGAUAGAGGUAGUAACUGGCCUUUAUUUGACGGUAAUUACUUAGAAAGUCACGGCUAACUACGUGCCAGCAGCCGCGGUAAUACGUAGGUGGCAAGCGUUGUCCGGAUUUAUUGGGCGUAAAGCGAGUGCAGGCGGUUCAAUAAGUCUGAUGUGAAAGCCUUCGGCUCAACCGGAGAAUUGCAUCAGAAACUGUUGAACUUGAGUGCAGAAGAGGAGAGUGGAACCCCAUGUGUAGCGGUGGAAUGCGUAGAUAUAUGGAAGAACACCAGUGGCGAAGGCGGCUCUCUGGUCUGCAACUGACGCUGAGGCUCGAAAGCAUGGGUAGCGAACAGG